This is a long non-coding RNA of Drosophila pseudoobscura, 1117 nucleotides long. RefSeq lists it as uncharacterized. NCBI's taxonomy places the organism in Eukaryota, Metazoa, Arthropoda, Insecta, Diptera, Drosophilidae. The transcript has 4 exons. The record is from RefSeq and is a predicted model, not a curated record.
UGUGUGUGUGCCCGUGUGUGCGUGUGGCCCUUAACCGGUGGCAACUUUAAGACAGCAAAAGAAGGGUCGGUCACGGUUUCGUUUACGGUUACGCUAACGGAUUGAAUAAACACACGGCCACGGCCGCGGUCGCCACACGGAAGUGCAGAGUGGAAAAAAGUGCAGAGCCCGAAAACGACCGGAAAUCAACUAAAUUGUCGUCACUCCAAUCAAGUGGAAAUUUGAUUAAAACGAAAGGCGAACCCAGAGAAGAGCGAGAGAAAGGAAAAAAUUUGAGCGAGAGUCUAUGAAAAGGUAGCGGCAGAAAAGGAAAUCAACACGCACGCACAUGAGCGAGCUUUCCUUUGGAAAACAUUAAAAAUCGAAAUCAGCGAAGCGUAAAACUUUCCACAAAAGCUAGCAAAAAACACGUAAAGAACAAAAAACCCAUACAAAAGGUGAAACAAAGUGAGAGAACAAUAAUUUUUGUAGUGCCGAAGAAAGAAGCACUAAAGACCGCAACACAAGGACCAGCUGACGGCCAGGAGUGGACAGGAUACUCUGCUUUAUUUUCGUCCUUUCGGCCAAAGCAUGAAAUUAAGUGCAGAUUAUCAGAAGAUUAUAUUUUAAUAGCAUUUCAAGCUGUUGCCUUUCUUGGACCCAAAGCAAGUGGAAAUCUGACCCUACAACAACCACAGCCAUUUUGUGGCAGUGCUUUGUGUGCCUGUGUGUGUGUGCCUGUGUGUGUGUGUGCUACAAGUGCGGCUUAUUACAUGAUUACUGCCUCGUACAAGGGAAAAUAUACGUAUCUAAUGCAAACACACAAAAUACAUACAUGAAAGAAAGCGUGCAAGAAAUUGAAAUUAAAAGAGGAAUUAAGUGUCGCGUGUGUUGUCUCCGUGUGUGUGUUUAAUCUAUAUAGUGUCCUGUUCCUGUGUAUUCGAGGCAAAUAUUGAGCAUACGCCUCGUGGACUUUCGUGGAGCAACAGGCUUAACCCGUAAGGAAUCCGAGAGGGGGAGACUGGAACUAGAGCGUGAGGCUAAACUAAACAGGAGAUCUCACUGGCAACUCGAAUCCAACCCAAGCUGAUUUCACAGUCACUUUCGGCCAGGACUCGGCGAUAGAGCGACAGAGCGA